This 279-nucleotide ribosomal RNA is filed under the name uncultured bacterium. RNAcentral's name for it is "partial 16S ribosomal RNA". It matches the Rfam family "Bacterial small subunit ribosomal RNA", at positions 506 to 784 of the family's 1533-position model. The record is from RNAcentral.
UGCCAGCCGCCGCGGUAAUACGGAGGGGACUAGCGUUGUUCGGAAUUACUGGGCGUAAAGCGCACGUAGGCGGACCAGAAAGUAUGGGGUGAAAUCCCGGGGCUCAACCCCGGAACUGCCUCAUAAACUCCUGGUCUAGAGUUCGAGAGAGGUGAGUGGAAUUCCGAGUGUAGAGGUGAAAUUCGUAGAUAUUCGGAGGAACACCAGUGGCGAAGGCGGCUCACUGGCUCGAUACUGACGCUGAGGUGCGAAAGCGUGGGGAGCAAACAGGAUUAGAUA